UAGAACGCACAGUUUAUACCGUAGCUUGCUACACCAUAGACUGUGAGUUGCGAACGGGUGAGUAACGCGUAGGUAACCUGCCUGGUAUCGGGGGAUAACUAUUGGAAACGAUAGCUAAUACCGCAUAAUAUUGAUUAUUGCAUGAUAAUUGAUUGAAAGAUGCUAUUGCAUCACUACCAGAUGGACCUGCGUUGUAUUAGCUAGUAGGUGAGGUAACGGCUCACCUAGGCGACGAUACAUGGCCGACCUGAGAGGGUGAUCGGCCACACUGGGACUGAAACACGGCCCAGACUCCUACGGGAGGCAGCAGUAGGGAAUCUUCGGCAAUGGACGAAAGUCUGACCGAGCAACGCCGCGUGAGUGAAGAAGGUUUUCGGAUCGUAAAGCUCUGUUGUAAGAGAAGAACGGGUGUGAGAGUGGAAAGUUCACACUGUGACGGUAUCUUACCAGAAAGGGACGGCUAACUACGUGCCAGCAGCCGCGGUAAUACGUAGGUCCCGAGCGUUGUCCGGAUUUAUUGGGCGUAAAGCGAGCGCA
Molecule: ribosomal RNA, 537 nt
Filed under: uncultured bacterium
Lineage: Bacteria
Description: bacterial SSU rRNA
Rfam family: Bacterial small subunit ribosomal RNA
Source: RNAcentral